UCCCAGAAGUUGUCCGGGACCAGGCGCCGAAGCCAGCGGCGUUUCUUCUUGCAGCUGCUGGGUGUGAGAUCACGCUGGCCGGAGUUCAUCACCUCGCUAAAGCCGUUCUCCUCGGGGAUGUUUGCCUGCUUCAUGCUGCCGCUCUGCCAGAGGAGUGAAACAGCCCCCUUCCUCCGCGCUCUGUUUAAAUCACUCUGCUGAGCCCGCAGGCAACCAGCGCCUCGUGCCAGGAGCGUUGUGGGGUGGCAGGGAGGUGCCGUGCACCGGCUGCACGUGGCGUUCACCUCCAACAGCUGGGCACACGUCACGCCGCAGAGGCGUCACACAGCCGUGGGUCAAGAGUGAGCUAGAGGCAGCUUUGCACUCUCCAUUGCACCCCAACCUGCAGAGAGGAAUCGCUCCACGUGCUGGAAUACUCACUGCUGUUGCAUCAAACAAGUGGAACGGAGCAAAGAUGAUCAUCACU
Molecule: long non-coding RNA, 466 nt
Organism: Grus americana (Whooping crane)
Lineage: Eukaryota; Metazoa; Chordata; Aves; Gruiformes; Gruidae
Exons: 3
Source: RefSeq, a predicted model, not a curated record